UAGGGAAUCUUCCGCAAUGGGCGCAAGCCUGACGGAGCGACGCCGCGUGAGCGAAGAAGGCCUUCGGGUCGUAAAGCUCUGUUCUUGAGGAAGAAUAAGCCAGGGAGUGGAAAGCUCUGGUGAUGACUUACUCAAGGAGAAAGCUCCGGCUAACUACGUG
RNAcentral lists this ribosomal RNA (160 nucleotides) under uncultured bacterium. RNAcentral's name for it is "partial 16S ribosomal RNA". It matches the Rfam family "Bacterial small subunit ribosomal RNA", at positions 355 to 507 of the family's 1533-position model. The record is from RNAcentral.